AGCAAACAGGAUUAGAUACCCUGGUAGUCCACGCCCUAAACGAUGUCGACUGGUUGUUGGGGGUUUGACACUCUCAGUAACGAAGCUAACGCGUGAAGUCGACCGCCUGGGGAGUACGGCCGCAAGGUUAAAACUCAAAGGAAUUGACGGGGACCCGCACAAGCGGUGGAUUAUGUGGAUUAAUUCGAUGCAACGCGAAAAACCUUACCUACCCUUGACAUGUCCCGAAGCCUGGAGAGAUCCGGGUGUGCCCGAAAGGGAACGGGAACACAGGUGCUGCAUGGCUGUCGUCAGCUCGUGUCGUGAGAUGUUGGGUUAAGUCCCGCAACGAGUGCAACCCUUGUCAUUAGUUGCUACAUUUGGUUGGGCACUCUAAUGAGACUGCCGGUGACAAACCGGAGGAAGGUGGGGAUGACGUCAAGUCCUCAUGGCCCUUAUGGGUAGGGCUUCACACGUAAUACAAUGGCGCGUACAGAGGGUAGCCAAGGAGCGAUCCGGAGCCAAUCCCUAGAAAGCGCGUCGUAGUCCGGAUUGCAGUCUGCAACUCGACUGCAUGAAGUCGGAAUCGCUAGUAAUCGCGGAUCAGCAUGUCGCGGUGAAUACGUUCCCGGGUCUUGUACACACCGCCCGUCACACCAUGGGAGUGGGUUUCACCAGAAGC
Molecule: ribosomal RNA, 661 nt
Filed under: uncultured bacterium
Lineage: Bacteria
Description: bacterial SSU rRNA
Rfam family: Bacterial small subunit ribosomal RNA
Source: RNAcentral